Long non-coding RNA from Gallus gallus (chicken), 1680 nucleotides. RefSeq lists it as uncharacterized. NCBI's taxonomy places the organism in Eukaryota, Metazoa, Chordata, Aves, Galliformes, Phasianidae. The transcript has 4 exons. The record is from RefSeq and is a predicted model, not a curated record.
CCAACCUGUUGUCUGGAAUUGUGCUAUGUGUUACAGAACUGUGCUUGGUCAGUGUGCAACUGUGGGAGCAAUGGUGUGUCUCUUCUUAAAUGGGCAGCUCUGCAGUGUCAGCUCAACCUUCUCCGCUGCCUCCUGUCCAGAAAAGGAGAAGAAAGCACCUUCAUCAGGAGGAAAAGAUUCAACAAGUGAAAUGAAAGAUCCUGGGUGGGCACCUUCUUGGAGAUGGUUGUUUUCUCUGGAAAGGAAGAUUUGAAACUGCUGCAAAAAACAGGUAUUAGCAUGGAAGAAAUGAAAACGGUCCAAGUUGGAUUCUGCCUUCCACACAACUGCUGAGGGAAGUGGUCCUCACCCUGCUCAUCCCUGAAUGCAUCUGUGAGGAAUUGGCACUCCUUCUGUAUCCGCUCCUCCAGACUCCUCUUCCCCAGGCCAAGGUUUCAGAGGGUGGUCAAGGUGAACCUUCUCUGCUGCUUCUACAGGUGCCCAUUGGAGGACAGCAGCCCUCGCAGAAGCAUUUCACAGUGAGCAAAGUAAGAUGUUCUCAGCAAGGGGAAGAAACUGGAGGACAUCUGCCUUGAGAAACGAGGAGGAGCUGUGAAAGUAUCUGUGUUCAGAAUGAAUGUGAAGCUACAACAUUUCCCCCAACUUUCCUCCUCGUAUGUCCAAAAGAACGAUGCUUUCACUGUGUUUCAGGGAAGGACAGGCAGAUUUGAAAUGGAAAUCGGGCAAGCUGAGCCUGGGAGAGUGAUUGGAUAAAUAUUGAUUGUGUGCAGUCUUCUUCCUUGUUUCCUGAAUCAGUAUUCAGAAGUAGAUGUAAAACCUUCCAGGCUGCAUUUUUGAGGCUUUGCAAGACUCAGGUGAGCAAGAGUUUUCAGCUGUUGUUUAACUCCCAUCCUACUUGCCCUUGUCCUCAUAUCCACGUACAGAUGUAGUGGAAUUCAUGGCACUGUUCCAUGCUCUUUGCCCAAAGGAUGUGGCUCUGUAUUCCAAGGCAAACCUUAUCGAAGUUGCAGCUGAUCAAGGGCCAACUCAUGGAAAGCUCUCUGUGGGCCAUUGGAUUUAAUGUGAUUGGGUUGGGUGGGUCCCCUUGCCACAAUGAAAAUUCCCUUACCUUCUGUGUUGCAACCACGGGGUCUUUUGCAAACAUAAAUCACACAUUUCCCAGGAAAGGGAAGGAAAAAGGACUGGGGGGGAAGUCCUUCGGCUUUCUCCUCUUCAUGUAGUCAGCACAGAGGAGCUGCUGCUGUCCUACGAUCGACUUGAAAAAGUUCAACCACUGCCUUUUCAUGGAAUCUGAAGUGUUCCCCUGCACUCACAUGGGAUGCUCCGCUCUUGAAAUAAACAUCUUCACCCCUUCUACGUUGUUGAAAAAUCAAUGAGGAAAGGAGAGGAAAGGAAAAGGAAAGGAAAGGAAAACACAGGAAAGGCUGCACCCAUGUUUUGCCUCCCAUGAUGCAGUGGGGGUAGAUAAGGAAGCAGUAGACUGUGAGAUAAAAGGGAAGUGAUUGUUUUUUAUUUGCUCAUGCAGUGCAAAUAAAAGAGCUGUUCCCAUGCACCUGAGAUCAGACCUGCACCAGAGAGAGGAGAAGAGGGGAGGAACAACUGAGGAGUCUCGAAUUGCAUUAGAAAAUCACAUGUUCACACAUGUAAAUAAAGUCUGCAGAUAUUUUGUGUCUAUUCAAA